RNAcentral lists this ribosomal RNA (449 nucleotides) under uncultured bacterium. RNAcentral's name for it is "partial 16S ribosomal RNA". It matches the Rfam family "Bacterial small subunit ribosomal RNA", at positions 29 to 523 of the family's 1533-position model. The record is from RNAcentral.
AACGAACGCUGGCGGCAUGCCUAACACAUGCAAGUCGAACGAGAUCUUCGGGUCUAGUGGCGCACGGGUGCAUAACGCGUGGGAAUCUGCCCUUUGGUUCGGAAUAACAGUUGGAAACGACUGCUAAUACCGGAUGAUGACGAAAGUCCAAAGAUUUAUCGCCAGAGGAUGAGCCCGCGUAGGAUUAGCUAGUUGGUGUGGUAAAGGCGCACCAAGGCGACGAUCCUUAGCUGGUCUGAGAGGAUGAUCAGCCACACUGGGACUGAGACACGGCCAAGACGCGUACGGGAGGCAGCAGGGGGGAAUAUUGGACAAGGGGCAAAAGCCUUAUCCAGCAAGGCCGCGUGAGUGAUGAAGGCCUUAGGGUUGUAAAGCUUUUUUACCCGGGAUGAUAAUGACAGUACCGGGAGAAUAAGCUCCGGCUAACUCCGUGCCAGCCGCCGCCGUAA